This 376-nucleotide ribosomal RNA is filed under the name uncultured bacterium. Its description in RNAcentral is "bacterial SSU rRNA". It matches the Rfam family "Bacterial small subunit ribosomal RNA", at positions 441 to 793 of the family's 1533-position model. The record is from RNAcentral.
AGGAAGGUAGUGUAGUUAACACCUGCACUAUUGUACGUUACCUACAGAAGAAGACACCGGCUAACUCCGUCGCCAGCAGCCGCGGUAAUACGGGAGGGUGCGAGCGUUAAGUACGGAAUUACGUGGGACGGUAAAGACGCAUGCAGGUGGUUUGGUUAAGUCAGAUGUAGAAAGGACCCGGGGCGUCAACCUACGGAAUAGACAUUUAGUAAACGUGGCAGACUAGAGUACUGUAGAGGGGGGUAGGAAUUUCAGGUGUAGCGGUGAAAUGCGUAGAGAUCUGAAGGAAUACCGGUGGCGAAGGCGGCCCCCUGGACAGAUACUGACACUCAGAUGCGAAAGCGUGGGGAGCAAACAGGAUUAGAUACCCUGGUAG